GAUGAACGCUAGCUACAGGCUUAACACAUGCAAGUCGAGGGGUAACGAGAGGAAAGCUUGCUUUCCUUGUCGACGACCGGCGCACGGGUGAGUAACGCGUAUCCAACCUGCCCCCAACUAAGGAAUAACCUUGCGAAAGUAAGACUAAUACCUUAUAAUUUCCUCAGAUGACAUCUGACGAGGAAUAAAGAUUUAUCGGUUGUGGAUGGGGAUGCGUCUGAUUAGCUUGUUGGCGGGGUAACGGCCCACCAAGGCAACGAUCAGUAGGGGUUCUGAGAGGAAGGUCCCCACAUUGGAACUGGGACACGGUCCAAACUCCUACGGGAGGCAGCAGUGAGGAAUAUUGGUCAAUGGGCGAAAGCCUGAACCAGCCAAGUAGCGUGCAGGAUGACGGCCCUAUGGGUUGUAAACUGCUUUUAUACAGGAAUAAAGUUAGCCACGUGUGGUUAUUUGUAGGUACUGUAUGAAUAAGGACCGGCUAAUUCCGUGCCAGCCGCCGCCGUAA
This 505-nucleotide ribosomal RNA is filed under the name uncultured bacterium. Its description in RNAcentral is "partial 16S ribosomal RNA". It matches the Rfam family "Bacterial small subunit ribosomal RNA", at positions 28 to 523 of the family's 1533-position model. The record is from RNAcentral.